RNAcentral lists this ribosomal RNA (301 nucleotides) under uncultured bacterium. RNAcentral describes it as "partial 16S ribosomal RNA". It matches the Rfam family "Bacterial small subunit ribosomal RNA", at positions 509 to 807 of the family's 1533-position model. The record is from RNAcentral.
CAGCCGCCACGGGAAUACGGAGGGCGCGAGCGUUACCCGGAUUUACUGGGCGUAAAGGGCGUGUAGGCGGCCUGGGGCGUCCCAUGUGAAAGGCCACGGCUCAACCGUGGAGGAGCGUGGGAUACGCUCAGGCUAGAGGGUGGGAGAGGGUGGUGGAAUUCCCGGAGUAGCGGUGAAAUGCGCAGAUACCGGGAGGAACGCCGAUGGCGAAGGCAGCCACCUGGUCCACUUCUGACGCUCAUGCACGAAAGCGUGGGGAGCAAACAGGAUUAGAGACCCCAGUAGUCCCUGUCUCUUAUAC